RNAcentral lists this ribosomal RNA (1779 nucleotides) under gut metagenome. RNAcentral's name for it is "bacterial LSU rRNA". It matches the Rfam family "Bacterial large subunit ribosomal RNA", at positions 223 to 2022 of the family's 2925-position model. The record is from RNAcentral.
AAGCAAAAGCGAUUGCCUUAGUAACGGCGAGCGAAACGGCAAGAGGGCAAACCGAAGAGUUUACUCUUCGGGGUUGUAGGACUGCAACGUGGACUUAAAGAUUAUAGAAGAACUACCUGGGAAGGUAGGCCAAAGAGAGUAAUAGCCUCGUAUUCGAAAUAGUCUUUAUACCUAGCAGUAUCCUGAGUACGGCGAGACACGAGAAAUCUCGUCGGAAUCUGGGAGGACCAUCUCCCAACCCUAAAUACUCUCUAGUGACCGAUAGUGAACCAGUACCGUGAGGGAAAGGUGAAAAGCACCCCGGGAGGGGAGUGAAAUAGAACCUGAAACCGUGUGCCUACAACAAGUUCGAGCCCGUUAAUGGGUGAGAGCGUGCCUUUUGUAGAAUGAACCGGCGAGUUACGAUAUGAUGCGAGGUUAAGUUGAAGAGACGGAGCCGUAGGGAAACCGAGUCUUAAUAGGGCGCAUUAGUAUCAUGUCGUAGACCCGAAACCAUGUGACCUACCCAUGAGCAGGUUGAAGGUGAGGUAAAACUCACUGGAGGACCGAACCAGGGCACGUUGAAAAGUGCUUGGAUGACUUGUGGGUAGCGGAGAAAUUCCAAACGAACUUGGAGAUAGCUGGUUCUCUCCGAAAUAGCUUUAGGGCUAGCGUCGAUGUUAAGUCUCUUGGAGGUAGAGCACUGUUUGGGUGAGGGGUCCAUCCCGGAUUACCAAUCUCAGAUAAACUCCGAAUGCCAAUGAGAUAUAAUCGGCAGUCAGACUGCGAGUGCUAAGAUCCGUAGUCGAAAGGGAAACAGCCCAGACCACCAGCUAAGGUCCCAAAAUAUAUGUUAAGUGGAAAAGGAUGUGGGGUUGCACAGACAACUAGGAUGUUAGCUUAGAAGCAGCUAUUCAUUCAAAGAGUGCGUAAUAGCUCACUAGUCGAGUGACCCUGCGCCGAAAAUGUACCGGGGCUAAAACAUAUUACCGAAGCUGUGGAUACCUUUAUAGGUAUGGUAGGAGAGCGUUCUAUGUGCGAAGAAGGUGUACCGUGAGGAGUGCUGGAGCGCAUAGAAGUGAGAAUGCCGGUAUGAGUAGCGAAAGACAGGUGAGAAUCCUGUCCACCGUAAGACUAAGGUUUCCAGGGGAAGGCUCGUCCGCCCUGGGUUAGUCGGGACCUAAGGAGAGACCGAAAGGUGUAUCCGAUGGACAACAGGUUGAUAUUCCUGUACUAGAGUAUAUAGUGAUGGAGGGACGCAGUAGGCUAACUAAACCAGACGAUUGGAAGUGUCUGGCCAAGCAGUGAGGUGUGAUAUGAGUCAAAUGCUUAUAUCUUUAACAUUGAGCUGUGAUGGGGAGCGAAGUUUAGUAGCGAAGUUAGUGAUGUCACACUGCCGAGAAAAGCUUCUAGCGUUAAUUAUACUCUACCCGUACCGCAAACCGACACAGGUAGUCGAGGCGAGUAGCCUCAGGUGAGCGAGAGAACUCUCGUUAAGGAACUCGGCAAAAUGGCCCCGUAACUUCGGGAGAAGGGGCGCUGACUGAUGGUCAGCCGCAGUGAAUAGGCCCAAGCAACUGUUUAUCAAAAACACAGCUCUCUGCUAAAUCGUAAGAUGAUGUAUAGGGGGUGACGCCUGCCCGGUGCUGGAAGGUUAAGAGGAGUGCUUAGCGUAAGCGAAGGCAUGAAUUGAAGCCCCAGUAAACGGCGGCCGUAACUAUAACGGUCCUAAGGUAGCGAAAUUCCUUGUCGGGUAAGUUCCGACCCGCACGAAAGGCGUAAUGAUUUGGGCACUGUCUC